AAUCAAUCCCCUUUGACUGCUUUUACCUGAGUGUGUUUCUGUAGAAAUUUAGAGGAAGCUGCAAUAGCAAAGCCAUGUUACCAGCCUUAAAAACAUUGAAGUCAUUAAGAUCCCUUAAAAUGGGUAUAAGG
Pteronotus mesoamericanus is the source of this 131-nucleotide small nucleolar RNA. RefSeq annotates it as small nucleolar RNA SNORA33. The transcript has a single exon. Lineage: Eukaryota; Metazoa; Chordata; Mammalia; Chiroptera; Mormoopidae. The record is from RefSeq and is a predicted model, not a curated record.